Molecule: ribosomal RNA, 1347 nt
Filed under: uncultured bacterium
Lineage: Bacteria
Description: partial 16S ribosomal RNA
Rfam family: Bacterial small subunit ribosomal RNA
Source: RNAcentral
GACGAACGCUGGCGGCGUGCUUAACACAUGCAAGUCGAACGGAAAGGCCCUGCUUUUGUGGGGUGCUCGAGUGGCGAACGGGUGAGUAACACGUGAGUAACCUGCCCUUGACUUUGGGAUAACUUCAGGAAACUGGGGCUAAUACCGGAUAGGAGCUCCUGCUGCAUGGUGGGGGUUGGAAAGUUUCGGCGGUUGGGGAUGGACUCGCGGCUUAUCAGCUUGUUGGUGGGGUAGUGGCUUACCAAGGCUUUGACGGGUAGCCGGCCUGAGAGGGUGACCGGCCACAUUGGGACUGAGAUACGGCCCAGACUCCUACGGGAGGCAGCAGUGGGGAAUAUUGCACAAUGGGCGGAAGCCUGAUGCAGCAACGCCGCGUGCGGGAUGACGGCCUUCGGGUUGUAAACCGCUUUCGCCUGUGACGAAGCGUGAGUGACGGUAAUGGGUAAAGAAGCACCGGCUAACUACGUGCCAGCAGCCGCGGUGAUACGUAGGGUGCGAGCGUUGUCCGGAUUUAUUGGGCGUAAAGGGCUCGUAGGUGGUUGAUCGCGUCGGAAGUGUAAUCUUGGGGCUUAACCCUGAGCGUGCUUUCGAUACGGGUUGACUUGAGGAAGGUAGGGGAGAAUGGAAUUCCUGGUGGAGCGGUGGAAUGCGCAGAUAUCAGGAGGAACACCAGUGGCGAAGGCGGUUCUCUGGGCCCUUUCCUGACGCUGAGGAGCGAAAGCGUGGGGAGCGAACAGGCUUAGAUACCCUGGUAGUCCACGCUGUAAACGGUGGGUACUAGGUGUGGGGUCCAUUCCACGGGUUCCGUGCCGUAGCUAACGCUUUAAGUACCCCGCCUGGGGAGUACGGCCGCAAGGCUAAAACUCAAAGGAAUUGACGGGGCCCCGCACAAGCGGCGGAGCAUGCGGAUUAAUUCGAUGCAACGCGUAGAACCUUACCUGGGUUUGACAUGGAUCGGGAGUGCUCAGAGAUGGGUGUGCCUCUUUUGGGGUCGGUUCACAGGUGGUGCAUGCCUGUCGUCAGCUCGUGUCGUGAGAUGUUGGGUUAAGUCCCGCAACGAGCGCAACCCUUGUUCACUGUUGCCAGCACGUUAUGGUGGGGACUCAGUGGAGACCGCCGGGGUCAACUCGGAGGAAGGUGGGGAUGACGUCAAGUCAUCAUGCCCCUUAUGUCCAGGGCUUCACGCAUGCUACAAUGGCUGGUACAGAGAGUGGCGAGCCUGUGAGGGUGAGCGAAUCUCGGAAAGCCGGUCUCAGUUCGGAUUGGGGUCUGCAACUCGACCUCAUGAAGUCGGAGUCGCUAGUAAUCGCAGAUCAGCAACGCUGCGGUGAAUACGUUCCCGGGGCU